GCCCUGCGUAACCAAUAGAAUGUAGCAGAAUUGACACGCCUGACUUCUGAGGCUAGGUCAUAAGAUGCCGUGCAGCUUCCACCUUGGCUCUUAGAACACUGCUGUGGGAUGAGCCCACUGCCAUCAAAGAAGCUUAACUACUCUGAGCUGCCAUGAUGUGAGGGAGCCCACGCCAGCCACUUGGAAAGACCACAUGGAGAGAAAAAGAUGGCCAGCUGGUCCCUGGUUGUUCCGGUCAUCUCAGUUGAGGCAGCAGACGAGUCAGUGAAGAGGCCAUCUGGACGUCCAGCCCAGUCAAGCCUUGAGUGAAGCAGCAAAGAACCUCGUCCUCACGUCUUCCCGCACAUGUGUGCCUCUACCUGUAAGGAUCCUGGAGUCAAAAGGACGCCUGCCACAACAUGGCUUGUCAAGUGGUGCCACGUCCGUACCUGGGAUCCGAACCAGUGAACCCCAGGCCUCCAAGAAGCAGAACGUGAGAACUUAAUCGCUGUGCCACGCGGCCAGCCCCAUCUCAUUUCUUUUCAGCACUGAAUAAUAUUCCAUUGUCUGGAGGUACCACAGUUUAUUUAUUCAUUCACCUACUGAAGGACAUCUUGGUUGCUUUCAAGUUUUGGCAAUUAUAAAUAAAGCUGCUAAAACAUUCGUGUGCAG
Molecule: long non-coding RNA, 651 nt
Filed under: Equus caballus (horse)
Lineage: Eukaryota; Metazoa; Chordata; Mammalia; Perissodactyla; Equidae
Description: lncRNA (ENSECAG00000049529.1)
Source: RNAcentral